RNAcentral lists this small RNA (114 nucleotides) under Arabidopsis thaliana (thale cress). Its description in RNAcentral is "ATSL291090". The record is from RNAcentral. Lineage: Eukaryota; Viridiplantae; Streptophyta; Magnoliopsida; Brassicales; Brassicaceae.
UGGUGAUGAUGAUAAUGCUGCCGAUUAUGAAAAGAUGUGGUGUGAUGCUUGCAUCAGGCCCAUCGAUUCUGAUCCAUUCUUCAAAUGUGUGGAAUGCAAGUUCUUCCUUCAUAA